RNAcentral lists this ribosomal RNA (254 nucleotides) under uncultured bacterium. RNAcentral's name for it is "partial 16S ribosomal RNA". It matches the Rfam family "Bacterial small subunit ribosomal RNA", at positions 524 to 776 of the family's 1533-position model. The record is from RNAcentral.
GACGUAGGGUCCAAGCGUUGUCCGGAUUUACUGGGCGUAAAGAGCGCGUAGGCGGUCUGAUAAGUGUGAAGUGAAAUCUCCAGGGCUCAACCCGGAAACUGCUUUACAUACUGUCAGACUGGAGUGAUGCAGAGGUUUGUGGAAUUCCUGGUGUAACGGUGAAAUGUGUUGAUAUCAGGAGGAACACCCAUGGCGAAGGCAGCAAACUGGGCAUCAACUGACGCUGAGGCGCGAAAGCGUGGGUAGCAAACAGG